GCCUCCGUAGCUCAGUUGGUUAGAGCACAUGACUGUUAAUCAUGGGGUCAUAGGUUCGAGUCCUAUUGGGGGCGCCA
This 77-nucleotide transfer RNA is filed under the name Coprobacillus sp. CAG:698. RNAcentral's name for it is "transfer RNA-Asn(GTT)". It matches the Rfam family "tRNA". Rfam says of the family: Transfer RNA (tRNA) molecules are approximately 80 nucleotides in length. Their secondary structure includes four short double-helical elements and three loops (D, anti-codon, and T loops). The record is from RNAcentral. Lineage: Bacteria; Bacillati; Bacillota; Erysipelotrichia; Erysipelotrichales; Coprobacillaceae. RNAcentral also lists the same sequence under 3 other names.